UACGUAGGGGGCUAGCGUUGUCCGGAAUCAUUGGGCGUAAAGCGCGUGUAGGCGGUCCGGUAAGUCCGCUGUGAAAGUCGGGGGCUCAACCCUCGGAUGCCGGUGGAUACUGUCGGGCUUGAGUACGGAAGAGGCGAGUGGAAUUCCUGGUGUAGCGGUGAAAUGCGCAGAUAUCAGGAGGAACACCUGCGGUGUAGACGGCUUUCUGGACCAUUGUUGACGCUGAGACACGAAAGCGUGGGUAGCAAACAGG
This 253-nucleotide ribosomal RNA is filed under the name uncultured bacterium. RNAcentral describes it as "partial 16S ribosomal RNA". It matches the Rfam family "Bacterial small subunit ribosomal RNA", at positions 524 to 776 of the family's 1533-position model. The record is from RNAcentral.